Molecule: ribosomal RNA, 491 nt
Filed under: uncultured bacterium
Lineage: Bacteria
Description: partial 16S ribosomal RNA
Rfam family: Bacterial small subunit ribosomal RNA
Source: RNAcentral
GUGAACGCUGGCGGUAGGCCUAACACAUGCAAGUCGAACGGCAGCACCGUAAGAGCUUGCUCUUACGGGUGGCGAGUGGCGGACGGGUGAGGAAUACAUCGGAAUCUACUUUUUCGUGGGGGAUAACGUAGGGAAACUUACGCUAAUACCGCAUACGACCUACGGGUGAAAGCAGGGGAUCUUCGAACCUUGCGCGAUUGAAUGAGCCGAUGUCGGAUUAGCUAGUUGGCGGGGUAAAGGCCCACCAAGGCGACGAUCCGUACCUGGUUUGAGAGGAUGAUCAGGCAAAAUGGGAACGAGAAAAGGGUCAAAACUCCUAGGGGAGCAGGAAGUGGGAAAAAUUGGAAAAGGGGGGAAGGCCGGACCAGGCAAUACCGGGUGGGGAAGAAGGGCUUUGGGUUUGAAAGCCCUUUUGUUGGGAAAGAAAAGCAGCAGGUUAAUACCCCGCUGUUCUGACGGUACCCAAAGAAUAAGCACCGGCUAACUUCGUG